Molecule: ribosomal RNA, 379 nt
Filed under: uncultured eukaryote
Lineage: Eukaryota
Description: partial 18S ribosomal RNA
Rfam family: Eukaryotic small subunit ribosomal RNA
Source: RNAcentral
CAAUAGCGUAUAUUAAAGUUGUUGCGGUUAAAAAGCUCGUAGUUGGAUUUCUGCUGAGAACGACCGGUCCGCCCUUUGGGUGUGUAUCUGGCUCUUUCUUGGCAUCUUCUUGGUGAACGUUGCUGCACUUGACUGUGUGGAGCGCUACCCAGGACUUUUACUUUGAGGAAAUUAGAGUGUUUCAAGCAGGCAUACGCCUUGAAUACAUUAGCAUGGAAUAAUAAGAUAGGACUUCGGCCCUAUUUUGUUGGUUCUGGAGCUGAGGUAAUGAUUGAUAGGGAUAGUUGGGGGUGCUCGUAUUCAACGGCCAGAGGUGAAAUUCUUGGAUUCGUUGAAGACGAACUUAUGCGAAAGCAUUCACCAAGGAUGUCUUCUUUAA